ACGAACGCUGGCGGCGUGCUUAACACAUGCACGUCGUACGGUAAGGCCCUUUCGGGGGUACACAAGUGGCGAACGGGUGAGUAACACGUGAGUAACCUGCCCACAACUUUGGGAUAACGCUAGGAAACUGGUGCUAAUACUGGAUAUGUGCCCCUGCUGCAUGGUGGGGGUUGGAAAGCUCCGGCGGUUGUGGAUGGACUCGCGGCCUAUCAGCUUGUUGGUGGGGUAGUGGCCUACCAAGGCGGCGACGGGUAGCCGGCCUGAGAGGGUGACCGGCCACAUUGGGACUGAGAUACGGCCCAGACUCCUACGGGAGGCAGCAGUGGGGAAUAUUGCACAAUGGGCGCAAGCCUGAUGCAGCAACGCCGCGUGCGGGAUGACGGCCUUCGGGUUGUAAACCGCUUUCAGCAGGGACGAAGCUUUUUGUGACGGUACCUGCAGAAGAAGCACCGGCUAACUACGUG
RNAcentral lists this ribosomal RNA (464 nucleotides) under uncultured bacterium. Its description in RNAcentral is "partial 16S ribosomal RNA". It matches the Rfam family "Bacterial small subunit ribosomal RNA", at positions 29 to 507 of the family's 1533-position model. The record is from RNAcentral.